UACGUAGGCGGCUUUGUAAGUUAGAGGUGAAAGCCCGGGGCUCAACUCCGGAAUUGCCUUUAAGACUGCAUCGCUUGAAUCAUGGAGAGGUGAGUGGAAUUCCGAGUGUAGAGGUGAAAUUCGUAGAUAUUCGGAAGAACACCAGUGGCGAAGGCGACUCACUGGACAUGUAUUGACGCUGAGGUACGAAAGCGUGGGGAGCAAACAGGAUUAGAUACCCUGGUAGUCCACGCCGUAAACGAUGAUGACUAGCUGUCGGGGCGCUUAGCGUUUCGGUGGCGCAGCUAACGCGUUAAGUCAUCCGCCUGGGGAGUACGGCCGCAAGGUUAAA
This 331-nucleotide ribosomal RNA is filed under the name uncultured Sphingomonas sp. Its description in RNAcentral is "bacterial SSU rRNA". It matches the Rfam family "Bacterial small subunit ribosomal RNA", at positions 568 to 898 of the family's 1533-position model. The record is from RNAcentral. Lineage: Bacteria; Pseudomonadati; Pseudomonadota; Alphaproteobacteria; Sphingomonadales; Sphingomonadaceae.